RNAcentral lists this ribosomal RNA (822 nucleotides) under Triticum aestivum (bread wheat). RNAcentral's name for it is "partial small subunit ribosomal RNA". The record is from RNAcentral. Lineage: Eukaryota; Viridiplantae; Streptophyta; Magnoliopsida; Poales; Poaceae.
AUGGAGUCAACUACAAAACUUAAAGACAUCACUAUAGGACAGCAAACCUGUAGGGUCUUUGCCCGCCUAAUAAGGAUUUGGGAUGCUAUAAACAUGAAUAACAAAAAUGGAGAUGCUUUGAUCAGCAUUGAUGGUAUUCUCUUAGAUGAAGAUGGCAACAUGUCACAUAUCAGUGUGCCCAAAAGAUUUGAAAAACAAUUUCGCAGCCUGCUAUCUGAAGGAUCUGCCUACAUUAUUUCCAAUAUUGCAGCCAUCGAAACCGGAAGAAAAUCAUAUGUCUACCACCAGCAGAAAUACAUCCUUCAGUUCAAACAGGACACAAAGGUGCAUCCACUACAUUCAAGGGGAGCAAAUAUACCAGCAAUUGCUUUCAACUUUUGUCCAUUUGAUCAGCUGCCAGCAAAAGCAACUGAUUCCAAGCCACUCCUAGAUAUAAUAGGAGUAAUCAGUGAUGUUGGUCCAUUCGACUAUGCUAGCCGAACAUCUCAGCACAAACUUCGGAAGAUCAAAAUUCGCAAUCUAGAUGAACAGACACAAGAAUUGGUUUUAUGGGGCAAACAUGGAGAAUCAUUUGAUGAAGAAGCCGUGCUAAAAAAAUCUCAACAUGGAAUUGUAAUAGCCGUAUUUUCUGGUAUAACAGCAACUCUACAAAGGUUUACAGGUAUGACACAAGGAUGUUCAAGUUCGGCAACACAAGUAUAUCUUGAUCUCGAUAUACCUGAGGUUCAAACAUACCGCAGCAGGUUCCUCUCUCUCUCUCUGUGUGAGUGUGUGUGUGUGUGUGUGUGUGUGUGUGCGCUUUCACAAACAGGAAGCCUAUGA